AGAGUUUGAUCAUGGCUCAGGACGAACGCUGGCGGCGUGCUUGACACAUGCAAGUCGAACGAGGUCCAUGCAGCUUGCUGCGGAAGAUCUAGUGGCGAACGGGUGCGUAACACGUGAGAAACCUGCCCCGGACUCCGGAAUAACAGAUGGAAACAUCUGCUAAUACCGGAUGCCGUCUGGACGUCACCUGGCGACCAGACGAAAGAUUUAUCGGUCCGGGAGGGUCUCGCGGCCUAUCAGCUUGUUGGCGAGGUAACGGCUCACCAAGGCAUCGACGGGUAGCUGGUCUGAGAGGAUGAUCAGCCACACUGGGACUGAGACACGGCCCAGACUCCUACGGGAGGCAGCAGUGGGGAAUCUUGCACAAUGGGCGAAAGCCUGAUGCAGCAACGCCGCGUGCGGGAAGAAGGCCCUAGGGUUGUAAACCGCUUUCAGCAGGGAAGAAGAUGACGGUACCUGUAGAAGGAGGUGCGGCCAACUACGUGCCAGCAGCCGCGGUGACACGUAGGCACCAAGCGUUGUCCGGAUUUAUUGGGCGUAAAGAGCUCGUAGGCUGUUCGGUAAGUCGGGUGUGAAAACUCUGGGCUCAACCCAGAGCCGCCACCCGAUACUGCUGUGACUCGAGUGCGGUAGGGGAGCGGGGAAUUCCUGGUGUAGCGGUGAAAUGCGCAGAUAUCAGGAGGAACACCAGUGGCGAAGGCGCCGCUCUGGGCCGUGACUGACGCUGAGGAGCGAAAGCGUGGGUAGCAAACAGGAUUAGAUACCCUGGUAGUCCACGCCGUAAACGUUGGGCACUAGGUGUGGGUCUCAACCAACGAGAUCCGCGCCGUCGCUAACGCAUUAAGUGCCCCGCCUGGGGAGUACGGUCGCAAGACUAAAACUCAAAGGAAUUGACGG
This 897-nucleotide ribosomal RNA is filed under the name uncultured bacterium. RNAcentral describes it as "bacterial SSU rRNA". It matches the Rfam family "Bacterial small subunit ribosomal RNA", at positions 8 to 916 of the family's 1533-position model. The record is from RNAcentral.